GAUUGACAUGAUGAUGGAAAUUGUUUUCCCUAUUGGUUUGACUGUCGAAAUGAUGGCAACAAUGUAUUAGCUCUAUCUGAUCUUUC
Lactuca sativa (garden lettuce) is the source of this 86-nucleotide small nucleolar RNA. RefSeq annotates it as small nucleolar RNA Z102/R77. Lineage: Eukaryota; Viridiplantae; Streptophyta; Magnoliopsida; Asterales; Asteraceae. The record is from RefSeq and is a predicted model, not a curated record.